Molecule: ribosomal RNA, 871 nt
Filed under: Plectania melastoma
Lineage: Eukaryota; Fungi; Ascomycota; Pezizomycetes; Pezizales; Sarcosomataceae
Description: partial large subunit ribosomal RNA
Rfam family: Eukaryotic large subunit ribosomal RNA
Source: RNAcentral
AGCAUAUCAAUAAGCGGAGGAAAAGAAACCAACAGGGAUUGCCUCAGUAACUGCGAGUGAAGCGGCAAAAGCUCAAAUUUGAAAUCUGGUACCUUUGGGUGCUCGAGUUGUAAUUUGGAGAGGCAACUUCGGAGGAGGCGCUGGCCUAAGUUCCUUGGAACAGGACGUCACAGAGGGUGAGAAUCCCGUGCUUGGCUGGCUGUCCUCCUUCAUGUGAAGUGUCUUCGACGAGUCGAGUUGUUUGGGAAUGCAGCUCAAAAUGGGUGGUAAACUCCAUCUAAGGCUAAAUAUUGGCGAGAGACCGAUAGCGCACAAGUAGAGUGAUCGAAAGAUGAAAAGCACUUUGAAAAGAGAGUUAAACAGUACGUGAAAUUGUUGAAAGGGAAGCGCUUGAGACCAGACUCGGUGUUAGGUGAUCAGCGGUUGCUUUUGCUCCGUGCACUUGCCUUUUAUCGGGCCAGCAUCAGUUGUGACGGUGGGAUAAAGACUCAGGGAAUGUGGCUCUCUUCGGGGAGUGUUAUAGCCCUGGGUGUAAUGCCGCCUGUUACGACUGAGGACCGCGCUUCGGCUAGGAUGCUGGCAUAAUGGUCUUCAGCGACCCGUCUUGAAACACGGACCAAGGAGUCUAACAUCUAUGCGAGUGUUCGGGUGUAAAACCCCUACGCGUAAUGAAAGUGAACGGAGGUGGGAACUCUUCGGAGUGCACCAUCGACCGAUCCUGAUGUCUUCGGAUGGAUUUGAGUAGGAGCAUAGCUGUUGGGACCCGAAAGAUGGUGAACUAUGCCUGAAUAGGGUGAAGCCAGAGGAAACUCUGGUGGAGGCUCGCAGCGGUUCUGACGUGCAAAUCGAUCGUCAAAUUUGGGUAUAGGGG